RNAcentral lists this transfer RNA (62 nucleotides) under Escherichia coli. Its description in RNAcentral is "tRNA-Thr". It matches the Rfam family "tRNA", at positions 6 to 65 of the family's 71-position model. Rfam says of the family: Transfer RNA (tRNA) molecules are approximately 80 nucleotides in length. Their secondary structure includes four short double-helical elements and three loops (D, anti-codon, and T loops). Further hydrogen bonds mediate the characteristic L-shaped molecular structure. tRNAs have two regions of fundamental functional importance: the anti-codon, which is responsible for specific mRNA codon recognition, and the 3' end, to which the tRNAs corresponding amino acid is attached (by aminoacyl-tRNA synthetases). tRNAs cope with the degeneracy of the genetic code in two manners: having more than one tRNA (with a specific anti-codon) for a particular amino acid; and 'wobble' base-pairing, i.e. permitting non-standard base-pairing at the 3rd anti-codon position. The record is from RNAcentral. Lineage: Bacteria; Pseudomonadati; Pseudomonadota; Gammaproteobacteria; Enterobacterales; Enterobacteriaceae. RNAcentral also lists the same sequence under 2 other names.
CUUAGCUCAGUAGGUAGAGCAACUGACUUGUAAUCAGUAGGUCACCAGUUCGAUUCCGGUAG